This 431-nucleotide ribosomal RNA is filed under the name uncultured bacterium. RNAcentral's name for it is "partial 16S ribosomal RNA". It matches the Rfam family "Bacterial small subunit ribosomal RNA", at positions 29 to 507 of the family's 1533-position model. The record is from RNAcentral.
AGCGAACGCUGGCGGCAGGCUUAACACAUGCAAGUCGAGCGCCCCGCAAGGGGAGCGGCAGACGGGAGAGUAACACGUGGGAACAUACCUUUUGGUUCGGAACAACUGAGGGAAACUUCAGCUAAUACCGGAUAAGCCCUUACGGGGAAAGAUUUAUCGCCGAAAGAUUGGCCCGCGUCUGAUUAGCUAGUUGGUGAGGUAACGGCUCACCAAGGCGACGAUCAGUAGCUGGUCUGAGAGGAUAAUCAGCCUCACUGGGACUGAGACACGGCCCAGACUCCUACGGGAGGCAGCAGUGGGGAAUAUUGGACAAUGGGGGCAACCCUGAUCCAGCCAUGCCGCGUGAGUGAUGAAGGCCUUAGGGUUGUAAAGCUCUUUUGCCCGGGAAGAUAAUGACGGUACCGGGAGAAUAAGCCCCGGCUAACUUCGUG